Molecule: long non-coding RNA, 623 nt
Filed under: Medicago truncatula (barrel medic)
Lineage: Eukaryota; Viridiplantae; Streptophyta; Magnoliopsida; Fabales; Fabaceae
Description: lncRNA gene41476
Source: RNAcentral
CAAUAAACAAAGCUUAAGAGGCUUUGUCUCAUUACAAACAUGCAUAUGGUAUAUAGUUAUAAUGAAACUUGCUCAUUCAAAUGAGCUCUAGUUAACAUUCAUUACAGUCUUGCUCGUAAUCAUCGCAAGUACACCGCUUAGGUUGUUUGCAAGUACAGUAUUUGCAAGUUGAUUCACAGGUUUCUACAAUAUCUAGACAUUGGCACAUAAUAGGAAUCCAUUCAACAUAGAACCAUUCAACAUUCUUACAGCACCUGUUGGUUGUCGAGUUGACAUCAUUGGAGGAGAUCACUUGAGUGAUGAAGGAUUUUGAAUCAAAACGAGCAUCAAUAGUUGCAAUGAAGCUUAAGAGGAAAAUCAACAUAGCUAACUUUAUCAUUGUCUUCUUGUUCAUCAAGCCCAUUAUUACUCUCUUUAUAUCUUUCUGUUUAAUAUCUCUAAUUUAUUUGACUUGUGAAGAGCCAACCAUGUCUGGCUCUAUUUAUAAUGGAGUGCAAUAAGGGCUAUAAGGGUCUUGUUUUUCAAUUCAUAGGAGGUAUACCACAUAUUAUAAAGUAGAAUAUGAUAAUAAUGCUAUUUUUAUACAAGUUUCAUUUUCAUAUUUUUAUUGUUUAUUUAUUUCC